AGGGUGGAGGGGCUGAAUAGGGUGGGAGGGGAUGAUUCGUGAUUGGAGGAGAGGAUACUUUUUUUUAGAUUGGAGGAGCAUGCCGUCAUGGGUAGAGGGGAGUAAAAAAGGAUAGGCGGUAGAGGGGAGGAGGAGCUAAUAACAGAGGGGACUUGAGGUACUUACGCUACGACGGGCGGUGGCGGCUAAACAUGAUCGAGGCCACGAGAGGUCCUGCAGCGAGUGGUCUGGCCUACGGGGAGUUCGGAGUUAGGAGAGGGGGCUAGGAGACGUUGGUGCUGAAGGAUACGCGGUGACGUACGGGGAGAUCGUUGGGAUCGGAGGUACCCAGCGGCUACGCUGAGGGUCCGUCCGGUAGAUGGAGCGCGGCGACCGUCGAGCCCGAGCUACCACGACUAGGCGGAGCCGAUGGAGUGGGGUGGCCGUAGCUGUAUCUACCAAGUCAUUCCGUGAAGAGAGGAGACAAACACCACUGUACAGGUAGUAAAAUACCAGCUGGAAACUGCCUUUAGCGCUAACACUAGAUAAGACGGAUCAUAAUCGGCGGGGUAGCACGAUAAGAUCCAUAAAAACAAAGUACGAAUGUAGAAAGUUACACGUCACGAUAGAUUAAGACAUUUACGUUCGGUUAACAAAUAUGAAACCGACUAGAUAAACCUACAUACCAACUCACGUAUACACAUUCACCAUUAAGACCUUCUUACGAACACAGGAAAAAAAAUUAGAGUUAUCAGGUAACAACGACGAUACACGCACCUACUUAGGAAUGGCUAAAGGAUUAUAAGGAGAAAUAACACAUGUAUUAGGAAUUAAAGUUAAGUAAAUGUCCAAGACUUUGGCCGGAACGAAGUCUGUUGUACACACAUAAACAACCUAAUGUAAGCGUAGCAUCAUCAUCUAGCUAGACAACACGCUAUUUUUAGGUGCGUCCCGGCGUCCUACCAACACUCAAUGGUUUUUUAACAGAGGGAAUUAAUUGAUUAGCGAUACAGUCGAACUUAAUAACUAGGCGGCCGAUACAAGUCACAUUCAAAACCAAACUGGAAAAGUAACGCUACUAACGUCUUACCACACGGCCGUUCGUGAUGUUGUAAUCGGUCGCUGCUGCUCGUUGCAACGUUGUGAAGAGGAGCACGAGUAUACGACACCUCUACGACCGGACGAACUCUACGGGAGCUAGUCACGGUUGAGGCGCCCCCCUUUGAUACCAUGACUGAAGAAACCAACAUUCCAAGACACAAGGGGAUCAUAGAUUCUACCACUUCAAUGACCUACAUCCUUGAUACGAUAUGAUACUGACAUUGUGCAAAACAAUAAAGAACUGAACAAAGGUAUUCUUAAAGUCACGAACUUAGUCUUGGGACAUGCUAAAGUGGAACGAGGUUAAUGAGUUUGUCUUGAAAAUCAUAAGAUGUACCACAACCGAGGGUUGAAGGAAAUUAGUCGUAGACUAAGAAGUGUUUCUAGUAAUUUAUAAAUACAGAGUGUACAAGAAGUAGCCGGUUAAAAAGUACAAUGCUCAAGUCUAUUUGUAGUUAUACGAGUUCCAUUAUGUGGGAUGAAACGUAUCAUUUGGUAUAAUUGGAUAAAACUUACUUUUUGUAGAAACUAUUUGACUUCUACAACAGUGUUUGGAUAUAACCAAAUAUCUAAUGUCUCUCUAACGGGUUAAAUCUUUUCUCUUCUACCUACGGUUCAGCCUGUCAGUACACUACAGACGUCGACUCUAUGACUCUUCAAACACAUUCAUGAGCAGAACGAGAGUUUAUAAUUGAAGAAGCAUGUGCGCGCGAUACAGAUUAUAGAAGAUCGUAAGGGAUAUCUAAAAUACAACUAGAUUUAUAAAAUGAUUUAACUACACAUGUUGACUUAUGCCUCAACGAUUCCCAGGACAUCGAGCCUCUCCGAUUAUAGGGUAAGACAGUUCUAAAUCUGAAGAACAUGAUUUAAAAGGAGAUAAUUAAAACAUGAUUUGUUAAAGGAUCAUAUAUUUAUCUACAGAUUUAACAAUCGUACAUAGUAACACGGAUUAAUUCCGUGUAGGUUCAAACCGGAUCACACUUAAUAAAAGAAAGACGUAUUUCAUAUAAACUUAACAACUUUGAAAUAGAUAAACAUAAAAGACCUCUUGACGUAUAGAAAGUAAUUUUGGUCUCCUACACAACAUACAGUCAUGUACAAAUAAAUUUCCUUCAUGGAUUAAAGGAUGUAAUCAUACGAACGAAAUACCAAAUGCAAUUAAGUUAACUGUAUAUCAUCUAAAAAAAGUAUUCUUUUGUUCCUAGUUUUCACAAACACUCUACAUCCGAUAAUGAGAUGAAAGUCAUGUUUCGAUGAUUACAGUACUGGAAGUUGGAAACAUACAACGAGGAGAUGUAAAAUGAAGGGAUGAUUGGAGUAAAAGAGAUGUCAUUCAAUGAGUAGAGUAAAAAAAUAUCUAAAGGUUCUAUUUACUUACUACGUACCGAGCCUACAACUAAAGUUCCUACCCUUACCCUGAUGAUGAUCAUGAUCUAGGACUCUUACAGUAAAGAUCCUGUAACAAAGCUUGUAAUAUCAACUAACGUUCCAGCUCUUAAACCGCUGAUGAUCUAUCAAAGUGUAGAACAUUAGAAACUUAGCACAAGAAACAUUACGUUGUAUCAACUAAAUUAUAUACUCUGGAAGG
Molecule: ribosomal RNA, 2668 nt
Filed under: Triticum aestivum (bread wheat)
Lineage: Eukaryota; Viridiplantae; Streptophyta; Magnoliopsida; Poales; Poaceae
Description: partial small subunit ribosomal RNA
Source: RNAcentral